RNAcentral lists this ribosomal RNA (446 nucleotides) under uncultured bacterium. RNAcentral's name for it is "bacterial SSU rRNA". It matches the Rfam family "Bacterial small subunit ribosomal RNA", at positions 8 to 445 of the family's 1533-position model. The record is from RNAcentral.
AGAGUUUGAUCAUGGCUCAGGACGAACGCUGGCGGCAUGCCUAACACAUGCAAGUCGAACGGAGAUAUUUAAGAGCUUGCUUUUGGAUAUCUUAGUGGCGGACGGGCGAGUAACGCGUGAGCAACCUGCCCUUCAGUGGGGAAUAACGGCUGGAAACGGCCGCUAAUACCGCAUAACAUCACUAUGCCGCAUGGCGUGGUGAUCAAAGGAUUCAUUCGCUGAAGGAUGGGCUCGCGUCCGAUUAGCUAGUUGGUGGGGUAACGGCCCACCAAGGCGACGAUCGGUAGCCGAACUGAGAGGUUGAUCGGCCGCAUUGGGACUGAGACACGGCCCAGACUCCUACGGGAGGCAGCAGUGGGGGAUAUUGGUCAAUGGGGGAAACCCUGAACCAGCAAUGCCGCGUGAGGGAAGAAGGUCUUCGGAUUGUAAACCUAAGUAGUCAGGGA